RNAcentral lists this long non-coding RNA (317 nucleotides) under Homo sapiens (human). RNAcentral's name for it is "non-protein coding lnc-ZKSCAN4-5:1". The record is from RNAcentral. Lineage: Eukaryota; Metazoa; Chordata; Mammalia; Primates; Hominidae.
AGCUUCCAGCGGCUUCAGAGAGGUGUGCAGCGUGUGGGGUCCCCAGUGCGCGCCGCGGAGUCUCCAAAUGGGGUCACUUGGGCAUGGGGUUUUGUUUCACAACUUGUCUCAUCCGAAAGAAAGGGUUUGAGUUCCAGCUUCGCAGCGUUGAGUCCGUCAGUCCUCCCCGCUCAGGUCGGCAGGCGGGAACCUCCCCAGACUUCAUUUCUGUCCACCGACCUGGAGUUUCAGUUUUCUCACAAAAGUACACUUUUCCCAAUCACUGUAACCAUAAAUGGCUCAAAAUAAAAAUGAAUUUUUUCUUGACUCUGGAAAAC